UUUGCACUGUUCUGGCCUCCUUUGCUGCACCUCCAAUAUUUGGACCGAUCUGUCUGUUCAUUCAUUUGCUGACAGGAAGUUGCACUGCAUCUAGGCGGAAUUGGGGAUCUGAUUAUUUGGCAGUGCAGUCAUUUAUCAGGUCACAGCCUUCUGACUCAUCAGCAUUGCACCUGGAGUGACACUCGCUGCUGUUUUGCCUACUUAUAAAUUGUUUUAAAAUACUAAUCUGCACUUUCUCUGGGGAUAAAGUGCAACAUUGUAAGGCUAUUGUAUUCCUGUUUUACUUGUAUUGUUUCAUUUUC
Poecilia latipinna (sailfin molly) is the source of this 302-nucleotide long non-coding RNA. RefSeq lists it as uncharacterized. NCBI's taxonomy places the organism in Eukaryota, Metazoa, Chordata, Actinopteri, Cyprinodontiformes, Poeciliidae. The record is from RefSeq and is a predicted model, not a curated record. The transcript has 4 exons.